GCCACUCGCCCGGGAAGCUGUGGUCACAGCUGAAGGCUGGGAAAUGAGGGUAUCAUCUAGCUGCUCUUGGAGAAUGAGCUGCAUCUUCCAAGGUGGUAUGCAGCCUUGAACACCUGGCCUGAAUGUGGGACAGCUCCAUCCUCAGACAUAAAUAACACAGGGGCUGUGGAAUAGCCACGGCUGCAUUCCCUAUCCAUGGGACAGACCAGAGCUGAGUGCUGACCACAGGCCAGGCUCUGUCUGAGAAAGACAAGGUUAUGACACAGAGACCGCCCACUUCUGCCUGGUGCACUUCUAGCAGUCCAUCCUGCCAGCUCCCAACAGCCCACGACGGCUAGGAGGAAGAAGUGGCUUGUUUCUUCCUGUGUCCUCCAUUGUUACACCAACCCUGCCAGAGAAACAGGCCGAUAGUUGGGCCUAGCAAAGGCCCUGUGCUGACAGCUAACCACACAAGCUGAGGAAAACCCAAUGCUGUCCCCAAGCAGCUCACCAAGGAGAUGCCAAACUCAAGCCUUCGUGGAAUGGCAGAGCAGAUGUGACUCCAGCUGCUUGACAGAGGGUCCACUCAAGACCCCACUGUGAUCCUCCAAUGUCCUGGCAUAGCCAGCCAAGGUUCUGCUUUUCACUCUAAGCUUCUGAGGCGCUCUGAGAAGGCCGUCCUCACAGGGGAAGCUUGAAGGGGGGCCAGCCCUGAGAUGCAGAGACGAAGGAGCCAUCCUUGCUACACUCCAAACCUCAAAGUUGCACCUCCCUCCCUCUCCACCACAGAUGGAGCUACGAUGACUCCCAGUUUACAGAAGAGGAAACUGAAGCUAACCAGGGUACAAAAGAGGAUGUCUGAAACAUCACAGUAAUUUUACCUUUCCCAAAUGAUGACAAGAGCUGCACCUCAAGAAGUCUAGGAUCCUAGUCUGUCCUGGUGUGUGGUGGGGGCUCUGGAAUCCAGGGAAGGGUCAGCCGGAGAAGACAGUCUGGUCCCUUUGUUUCAGUAGACUCUCUUCCCAGGAGCAAGGACCAAGAAGUGUCGGCCACUCUCCAGACAGAGAUGCCCAUUACCGCCAGCACCCCUGACAGCUCACAGUAUCCGGGAACAAAAGUGGGUCAUGCCAAGUCCUGGGGGCAUAAUGAGAGUCCCGGAAGCCAGCUUUCUCCUGCAUGACCUGGGGCUGCAACAGAUAUGGAAACAGGACUGGGAGGGAUGAGGCACAGCCUCAGAGCUCCCUCGGGCUGGCAGAGGGAGCAGUGUGGGGAAGAUGCAAGCUGCAAAGCCCGCCGUGGAACCCUGUGGGCGCCACCUAAUGGCAAGGAGCCAAGCAAAGAGCAGAUGCCACCAAGUGGGCUGAGCAGCACCUGGCUCAGGGGAUAGGGCAGGUCGCCCAACCUCUCUGGGCCUUUUGUUUCUACCUGCAGAGUGGCAUCAGAGCAGAGCCUGCCUCCAGGGUACAGCAGGCUUGGGGACAAUAAGGGAUGAGGAUGUCAUGCCCAGAACAGGUUCCCUUGAGGGAAGAGGACCUCAAGGGACGAAUGCAGCGGCCCCAUCAGGGGAGGUGCGGUGCACUGUCUCACUGCCUAUCAUUUUCUAGGGUGCGUUCAGUGCCCUUGUUGUACCUUCUAGACCCUUCUAAAGCUGCAACCCUCUCAUACAGUUCUGCAAGUUAUGCUGAAGCCCCAACCAUAGAAUUCUUUUUGU
Molecule: long non-coding RNA, 1690 nt
Organism: Psammomys obesus (fat sand rat)
Lineage: Eukaryota; Metazoa; Chordata; Mammalia; Rodentia; Muridae
Exons: 3
Source: RefSeq, a predicted model, not a curated record